GAAACAAUCUGCAAAGAAGUUUUGAGGUUCUGUCCAUCUGGUCCAGGAAAUGCUGACUCUGCUAGAUGUGCUGUUGGGUGGGCUCUCAUGGGAGAGGCUUGGGCAGGACUUCCCUUGGCAAUAAGCUGCCCCACCCAGGCCUUUCCAUGAUCCAGAAUCCUGGGACCAGAGUGCAAAUCCCCAGCUCCCCACUUGUCAACAAUGUGACAUGGGCAACUUUCUCAAACCCAAGCUUUGUCCACCCAAGGUCAUCAGAGAUGGGGGAUAACAGGAUGUCCUGCACAGAGUGUCUGUGCAGAUUAAGUGAGGUAGAACAGACAGAAGUGGUGGGGCCUGGCCCAUUGGUUGGCAGAAGGGAGCUCACCAUGUGCAGCAAUUUCCGCGGGUCACCCAGCAAUGUGCCCAGAGGCUUAGCCACUCCAUCACUAUCAUGUGUCUGAAGUCCACUUAACCACAUGGGAGAGAAACAAACACAUAUUCUGAGUGUAGCUGCCACAGGGAAAAUUGUAUCUGAGCGGGGAGUAAUACCAGAGGGUGAUCAGGAUGAUGGAAGAUGCCCCCUGGGGUUGAGCAGAGUGGAGCUGCCCUCUGGAGCCUGGGGUUAGUGAGGAUGGGCUUGUAGAAAUGCCCCUCUCCUUUACCCAUCAAUGCUAGGUCCUGCGGGUACUGAGUCCCACAAUCGGUGUGCUGCUAGUGCCCUCAGCACAGAGAAAAACCCAGGGGUUCCCACAAGGCUUCGGCCACGACCUCUGCUUCCUGAACUCCCAUUCUGGUGACCCCACCUGGGAUGCAGAGAUGAGGUGAGGCAGGGGCUUGUGCUGUCAACACCACUGCUCUAUCCUGGGAAUCUGACACACAGUAGGUGCUCGGUAAGUCAUUGUUGAAUGAACAGCAAUACUGGGCCAAGUUUCUGUGGGUGUCUGUGCCCCCAGAUCAGGGACCCCUCAGGGCCCACCUCACAAGUGACAUGAAAAUAAUAAUGCCACCAGGAGCAAUAACAGUUCCUCAGAAUAAGUGGGCUUUUCCAAGCACUCUCCACCUGUUGCAAAGGCCUCCCAGCAGGGAAGUGGGCUGUCAGGGGCAACACUGCACUCUCCACUGUAACAAGGAGAAAGCCAAGGGCCACAGAGAGGAGUGCCUUUCCAGUGUCACUGCUCACUUUCCCACCUUUUGGGAGACUGGGAGGCUUUUCUACUACAUUCUGGCUCUGAAGCCCCAAUACUGUUUGGACAUGCCUCCCUCCCUGGAGCAGGGAACCACUAAGUGACCUGUCACUUGUCACCAAGCAGACAGGCUCAUUUCAGCUCAUUGUGCCACCUGCAGGUUGUACUAGUAGCAGGAUCCUCUGGGAGACAUCACACUCUCCCAACCUGAAAACAGGUGAACAGCUCACAGGUUUCCUGGAGAGGAUGGUCACAUGGCCUUGAUCUGGCCAAUCAGCAUUUUCCAUCCUCCCUGGCCACUGUGAUUGGCUCAGGGCUGGGCACCAGCCCAAUCAGGCUCCACGGAGGUCAGGCCUAGUUACUGGAAUCCUGGGAGCAGAGAAGUUCUAUUUCAGUUGGGAGUUGAGGGGUGAUGAUGUCAGCCUGUGGCAGUUGGUGACUAUCUUGCUCUCAUAAAGGCAGAGCCAUGUGAAGAUGACACCAGUGGCAGAGCCCAGAGGUGGGGAAGGAUGACUUCUGCUGAUGUCACUGAGCACCAGGUACAGCCCUGCCUGAAGCUAUCUCCCUUUGGAUGUCUCAGUUAGGCUGUCUGCUGCAUGAGAAUGGAGACCUGCCUGCUUCACUACCUGCUGUGCCCGGUAUCUGGAACCCGCCCAACACACAGUAGGACGUCAGCGAAUGUGUGACGGGUGUGUGAUCACUGUAGGCCACAGACAAAAGUCUUCCCAGCAGUGAAGAAACCCUGUGACAGAUCCUGUCCACAGCACCCUGCUCCUCCGAUCCUGACCCCAGGCUUUCCCAUGGGGUGUGACCCCGCAUGGGGUGCAGUCCCCUCCUCCAGUCUGGUUAUGUUUUGCCACAGGAAGAGAUGUCAGGAAUCUUGGACCAGUUCUUGGAGCAGAGAAUUGAGUGACUUUCUCAAGUUCACGUUGACACUCCAUAUGUUUCUGCCAGUAUCAGCGAGGUUCAAUUUGUCUCUCAUGAAUGUCUUUCGAGCCUGGUAUUCUCAACAGAAGUCUCCAUGCCAGUAUUCUCCAUUGUAGCAGAACAACUCUCAUCAAUGUGUUUGCAUCUCACCUCAAUUCGUGCAGCCACCUUUUCUGCCAGCUUCCUUCAUGUCUCCUAUAAAGUCAAAUUCUAAAGGACAGGGCAAGUCUGAAAGUACCUCAGAGCCUCACCUGUAAGCUGAUGACAGGCAGAUCUUCCACUGUAUGCCCUUUCAGGUUCUGGAAACUGACCCGUGAACUCAGGCAAUUGCGCAGCACGAGUAUCUCGAACUUACACAGAUUCCCGAAAAAGAGACUUAAGCCAAGCUCCAUAGAGGGUGGUACCACCUCCAUGACACUGAUCCACCCACAGAAUUCUACCCAGUUACCUUGGAUCCACCAACCACAACAAUCCUGGUGGAACACACCAAGAUACCACCUGGAAUCCAACCGGUUUUCUGAGGCCUCAGCCUGUCUUUGGAAGUAACAGACCACUCUUCGGAAAGUGUCCUGUGCCGAGGGCUGGAUGUCAGGAAUCGUGGAGCCGUUCUUGGAGCAGAGAAUUGAGUGACUAUCUCAAGUGCACUUUGACACUCCGAAUGUUUCUGCCAGUAUCUCAGAGGUUCUGUAGGACUCAUGAAUGUCUUUCGAGCCUUGUAUUCUCUAGAGAGGUCUCCAUGCCGGUAUUCUCCAUUGUAGCGGAGCAACUCUCAUCAAUAUGUUCGCAUCUCUCUUCAAUCCGUGCAGCCAACUUUUCUGCCAGCUUCUCUUCGUGUCUCCAAUAUAUUGUCGACUUCAACAGGACUGGGCAAUUCUGAAAGUACCUCGGAGCCUCACCAGUAAGCUGAUGACAGGCAGAUCUUCCACUGUCUGCCCUGUCAGGUUCUGGAAACUUACCCGUGAACUUAGGUCUUUGGGCAGCAGCAUUAUCUCGAACUUACACAGCGUCCCGAACAAAAUACCUAAGCCAAACUCCACAAAGGGUGGCAGCCCCUCCAUCACACUGAUCCACCCACAGAAUUCUGCCCAGUUAAAUUGGAUCCACCAGCCACAACAAGCCUCGCGGUACACAUCAAGAUUCCACCUAGAAUCCAACCGGUAACUGCCAUCCCCAAAGGUUGCUGAAUAUUUUCAGUGUUGGGGGAGGGGCUGCAUCAAACGAGAGGUUCCUAAGUUAAAUGUGAUUCUAUCAAUUA
This is a long non-coding RNA of Camelus dromedarius (Arabian camel), 3345 nucleotides long. RefSeq lists it as uncharacterized. Lineage: Eukaryota; Metazoa; Chordata; Mammalia; Artiodactyla; Camelidae. The transcript has 7 exons. The record is from RefSeq and is a predicted model, not a curated record.